ACUACCCAAAAGUUUUGAUAACCUCUUUCUUCGUACGAGUCAAGUUCAUAACUAUAAUACACGUCAGUCUAACUUGUAUCAUAUCCCCUUUUGCAGAACAAACAUUAGAAAAUUCUCAGUUAGUUACCAAGCCCCGAAAUUUUUUAAUACAUUAAGUUGCGAUAUUCGCAAUGCGUCAAGUGUUUCUUUAUUUCAGUCUAAAUUAAAAAAAUACUUGUUUUCCUCGUAAUUGCCUUAACAUUCAUUAUUUUUCUUCUUUAUUUGACAAUUUAAUAUUUUUUAUUUUAUUGCUUUUAUUAUUCAUCUGUAAUGAUAUAUUAUUAUUACUGUAAUUACUGUAUUUUGAUAUCAGUAUAUUGAUAUCAGUAUAAUUAUUGUUUCCACCGUACCGUCUCCAUAUCUAUCAGAGCAAGUUUGUAGUAUAAAGGAGCCCAAUUUUAUAAGCCUUUUGGUUUCUUUUGGGCUUCCUUGCCUUCUCCUAUUCACUUAUUAAAUUUGUAAAUAUCUAACUUGUCGC
This is a non-coding RNA of Paramuricea clavata, 517 nucleotides long. NCBI's taxonomy places the organism in Eukaryota, Metazoa, Cnidaria, Anthozoa, Malacalcyonacea, Plexauridae. The record is from the annotation of a GenBank genome assembly.